This 450-nucleotide ribosomal RNA is filed under the name uncultured bacterium. Its description in RNAcentral is "bacterial SSU rRNA". It matches the Rfam family "Bacterial small subunit ribosomal RNA", at positions 328 to 793 of the family's 1533-position model. The record is from RNAcentral.
CGACCAGACUCCUACGGGAGGCAGCAGUGGGGAAUAUUGCACAAUGGGGGAAACCCUGAUGCAGCGACGCCGCGUGAGUGAAGAAGUCUUUCGGUAUGUAAAGCUCUACCAGCAGGGAAGAAAAUGACGGUACCUGAUUAAGAAGCCCCGGCUAACUACGUGCCAGCAGCCGCGGUAAUACGUAGGGGGCAAGCGUUAUCCGGAUUUACUGGGUGUAAAGGGAGCGCAGACGGCAGUGCAAGUCUGGAGUGAAAGCCCGGGGCCCAACCCCGGAACUGCUCUGGAAACUGUGCGGCUAGAGGACUGGAGGGGCAGGCGGAAUUCCUAGUGUAGCGGUGAAAUGCGUAGAUAUUAGGAGGAACACCAGUGGCGAAGGCGGCCUACUGGACAGUAACUGACGGUGAGGCUCGAAAGCGUGGGGAGCAAACAGGAUUAGAUACCCCUGUAUCG